Molecule: long non-coding RNA, 2470 nt
Organism: Spodoptera frugiperda (fall armyworm)
Lineage: Eukaryota; Metazoa; Arthropoda; Insecta; Lepidoptera; Noctuidae
Exons: 2
Source: RefSeq, a predicted model, not a curated record
GUGCAGGCAGACCGUAGUCACGAUUCCAAUAUUCUCUUCAGAGGCAUUCGGUAUUUCACUACAUUGUGUUUGUUAUUAUCAUUUAUACCUCUAAAACGUAUUAUAUGAUAAUGAAAUAGUUUCAAAGACUAUUUGCACAGCUGGUUCACUAGUUGUUUUAAUUUAGUGACAUGUUGUGACAAUAAAAUCCAAUUUUCUAUAAAAAAGUUGUUCAAGUGAGGAUGUCCCUGUUUGCUUAAUUAUUGUUGAGGCGGCGGCGGCAGUCGCGGCGGCGGCCGGGUAUGUGCGGCGUGUGUGAGGUUGCCGCGGGCGCGGAAUGUGGCAAGUAGUAUCGGCGGCAGCGCCGCGGGGUAGAAAGCGGCCGCGCACUCCCCGGCCCUUAUCAACACUUCAACGACGCUAAAUUGUUAUGUUACACGCUUAUUUAGGACAACACGUCAUAUGCUUACCCAUCUAAGAUUAUAGUUUUUUUCCUCUAUACUGGACUCCGACACAUUUAGGUAUGUAAAGUUGUGACUGAAUUAUACAUUGUGAUAUUUCAAAACGAAGCAAUCCAGGUGCCUUUACCCCGAAAACGCAAUAUGAUUGAGUCGCCUAAGUGGCUAGUUUAGGUACUUCUAAUGAAUAUAUGAAGUUAUCAUGCUUAUAGCUCGUAUGUAGCUAUAAAUGAACUGACGUUAAUGUUACGCGUAAUUUCAAUAACAAAUUAAGAAUCGGUGAACUUAACAGGUAGUAUGUUAUUACUAGAUAGACAGUUUCCGCGGAUCUAAGUACUUGUUCAAGGAUUGAGUUUAGGCAAUUUAUAUUGAAACAAAAUUUUUGUAUGUUAUCCUGUUUAAACAUAUUACAGUCCGUUUAUAAUUUAAAGGCAGUUUAAUCAUUAGAACAUUUUUAGUUCAAAAUGAUUUAAAAUUGCAAAAUAAUAAAAAUUAAAUAAUUAGAAAAUUUUAAAUCCCUAAAAAUCCGUUGGCAAAGUAUACGUAGAGCUUUCCAUUGAAUGGAAAAAUGCACCGUGAAGCCGGUUUGUUCAUACCUUCCGGAUUCCCAACCUGCUACUCUAGGUCAGCAUGCGGCGUCUCGCUCACUCCCACGAGCCUCGCCUCAGAUUGCAAGAUCGAUUUGGGGUCGCGUCGCGUCGCCCUAACCUAGAUUGUCUGCGCUCGGUAGACUUUGUAAUAAAGCCUGCAUCGACUCCACGUCUGUCCCUUAACAAGUACGCAAACUCCUAUUUCUUCCUAUUCCUAACAACCAUAAACCAAGCGUUGUCAAAUAACACUUAGAAAAAGAGAAGUUGCGAAAUCAAAUAGCUUUUUACUUUGUAUAUGUUAAAGAAGUGAGACGUGAGUGGUCUUAAUGUACAUAUCAAUGCGAUCCAGCCAUUAAUCUCUGUGUAAUAGUCAAACAGCCAACUGACUUAACUAGAAUGACAAUCUUCCGCGUGACACUGCGCAAGAAUGAAUGCUCUUAUUUUUUGUUUGUUUCUUUGUUAUGAUCAGUUUUUUCUUUCAUUCAAAUGGACAUAUUAACAAAUCGUGCCAGUUUUGGUACGUCUUACGUUUAAAAAAACAGUUUUCACGUCUGCGAUAAUUAAUUGAUUGUAUCAUACUUAGGCACACUUUUAUAGGAUAAGUACGUAUAAUAUAUAAAUCACAUUAAAAUGCAAGUUAAUAAAGUCCAUAGAUAUUCAUGAAGUGUAGUUUUGAGAUGGGGGUCCUAAUAAGGCAGUGCACCUGUGCGGCCGGGUCUCGAACGGGGCCAGGCGGCCUGCGCGCGCUUUGUAAUCAUUCAACUGUUCCGCCAAGCCAACAUCAUCCCGCGACUCCGGUAAUAAAUACUUACAAAACGGUAUUCACAAAAAACACAACAACAAAUAAUUUGCCUUCUUCGGAUUAUUGAAUCCAGAAAUGAGAAUAUUCCACAGAAGAAUUCAAUUAUAGUUAAUCGCUGUUGAUAUUAAUCGUUAACUGCGCAUGUGAUUACAUUUUAAUAUUUAACUAGGACCGAUCCGUAUGGGUACAGUAAUAUUAAUUGGUAUUUAAUUACGAGAUAUCGAGAAAUGUGUAGCGCUACUUCUAGGCUCAUAGCAUGUUUUGAACCACCGUUAUCUGUUUCUAAUAGCACCUAUUCAUAAGAGUUUAAGUUUUUUCCUAAGUUACGAUGACAAUGUAGUUAUUAUAAACGUAAUAAAACUAAACUUAAGGCGGUAGGUGCAGCGAUCGUAGAGUAACAAAAAUGUCCUAUUGUAAAAAAAUAUGAACUCCCAAUGGAGUGAGUCAGCGCAGAGACAGAUGAUGUAAGUUUACGAAGUACAACAUUCGUAUGACAUUUGACUCGUUAGUGAGCAGUUAAACAAAGAUAUUCUUUUUUUAAUGAGCCACUGAACAUAAUUUAGAUAUUAAGUAAUAUAUUGGUUCUAGUUAGUGAAAGCUGUUUGUACAACUUUUACCAAAUAAAUUCCAUUUUUUUUAAA